CAUUUUGUACAGAUUUUUGGAAGUUUGGGUUGUUACUUUUCUUAUAGAACGGACUUCUUACUACAGUAUAACCUCUAUAAAUUAAUAACCUUUAUAAAUUAAUAAAUUCUUCCGGUCCCGAGUUGGGACUAGUGUAAAAAAUGACACAAAUCGAUAAAUUAAUAAGAUAAUAAUUUUUUGGAAAGUUCUAUGUAAAUAUAUGGUCUCAUCGAUAUCAUAAAUUAAUAAUUGUAUAAAUAUAUCAACUAU
RNAcentral lists this small RNA (249 nucleotides) under Arabidopsis thaliana (thale cress). Its description in RNAcentral is "ATSL021900". The record is from RNAcentral. Lineage: Eukaryota; Viridiplantae; Streptophyta; Magnoliopsida; Brassicales; Brassicaceae.